This 1641-nucleotide long non-coding RNA is filed under the name Numida meleagris (helmeted guineafowl). Its description in RNAcentral is "lncRNA (ENSNMEG00000002969.1)". Lineage: Eukaryota; Metazoa; Chordata; Aves; Galliformes; Numididae. The record is from RNAcentral.
AUGCCAGCCAGUUCCCAGGCGUGCUCACAUCUGAAAUUGAAUUUCUGCCGGGCGGUGGGGAAGGAGGGCUCGCUGCCGUGCGCUGCUUGCCCCGGUGCGAGGGAAGGGGUGGGGAGNNNNNNNNNNNNNNNNNNNNNNNNNNNNNNNNNNNNNNNNNNNNNNNNNNNNNNNNNNNNGGGUGGAGGGGGGGUGGGGGUUCUGCUCUCCAGCCUCCAGCAGGUGGUAGCACGCUGCCGGCUCCGCAUCCCCAGCUCUGCCACGUCCCAGCCCUGUCGCCGUCCCCAGCUCCGCUGCGUCCCCAUCCAGCGCUGCUGCGUUGUGCCCGGGCGUUGCUGGACGCUGAGCACCCCCAGCGCCCUCCAACUUGGUGCUGGAAACGGACCCUCGUCCAUCUCUGUGUCACCUGUGUCACGCUGCCUGGGGAAGGCGUGGAGCCCUGAAAGCUGCUAUCCCAACCCCAUGGCGGCAAGGAGGGGGGCUGGGGGGGGACAGGAAGGGAAAACCACCUCUUCCAGCUCCGCGGUGCUGCGUGAUGGUCUGCAGCCCAUUUUGGAAGCUCUAGAAACCUCGUUUUCUCCCAGCUCUGCAAGCAUUUGCUCCCUGCCCGUCUCUAGCUGUGGUCUGGCACCUCCCUCUGCAUGCAGUGUCUGUGGCAACGCAGCGCUGGAGGUGAGCGCUGGUCCUGAGCCCAGUGCUUGGAGCAAAGCUGGCUGGCAGCGAGGGCAGCCCGGGCACAGCGUGCAUCCCCAUUGCGCGACCCUGCACCGCGAGCACGAGAUCACUGCCGCUGUCCCUUUGCUGCAAACCGGGACCCAUGAGCGCUCUGUGGCUUUGCCCAUCGCUGCAGCCCCGCUUCUGCCCCAGCACCGCCGUGCACUGGUUCCCCUCCGUGCUCCGGGGACUGCUCGUCCCAAGCGGAGCACGCGGGCAGGGCUGGCCCCGUUCCAGAGCUCUUUGUUAUCUCCGGGGAACUCAACCAUUUCUGCACCUUGUUUACCUCCCGUUGCACAUGGGUGGAGGAAAGGUAAACACCAGCCUUUUGUUCACCAGCUCCUUUUCCUUGAGCCUCUUCCUCCUCUCCCCCGUCUCCAGCCACUUUCCCCCGGGUGCAGCCAGCCCUGCGGUGCUGAAGCCCCAAGGACAUCCACAGCGCUGCCAUUCCCCCCUCCCCAGUGCUGCCCAACAGAUACCCCAGCCCGGACCCCUCCCGGGGCUUCCUGUGCUUCCUGCACCCUUCAUGCUCCGUUUGCUGGGUGCCAGUGGCUUCUCCCAGAUCUAUCCCUGCAGUGGGCGAGGGACUGCUGCGCUGAGCAACCCAUGCCCAGGCGAAAGUCUGCAGUUUGUCAGAGCGAGCUGCUGAGAAAAUCAACGUGCCUGCCCUGCCGGGGAGUGCUCGUGUGGCAGAGGGGCACACCGGGGAAACCAGGCCGUGCAGAGAAAGUGCAGGGCAAAAAGCUUUCUGAGAGGGGACUGCUGCCCUCCCGGACCCUGAGCACCUUCUCAGGUUCACCAGAGCUGGCUGCUGGCCUUUCGUCUGUCUCAGCGUGUCCUUCCCUUUAUUAUCAGCUCACAGUCUGGAUGCAGAGGGAGCUGAGAACUCCCACCCUUUUCAUGGUGCUUGGCUGCCACGAUCUGCACUGA